UACGUAGGGGGCGAGCGUUGUCCGGAAUCAUUGGGCGUAAAGCGCGUGUAGGCGGUCCGGUAAGUCCGCUGUGAAAGUCGGGGGCUCAACCCUCGGAUGCCGGUGGAUACUGCCGGGCUAGAGUCCGGAAGAGGCGAGUGGAACUCCUGGUGUAGCGGUGGAAUGCGCAGAUAUCAGGAAGAACACCAACGGCGAAGGCAGCUCGCUGGGACGGAACUGACGCUGAGGCGCGAAAGCGUGGGGAGCGAACAGG
This 253-nucleotide ribosomal RNA is filed under the name uncultured bacterium. Its description in RNAcentral is "partial 16S ribosomal RNA". It matches the Rfam family "Bacterial small subunit ribosomal RNA", at positions 524 to 776 of the family's 1533-position model. The record is from RNAcentral.